This 253-nucleotide ribosomal RNA is filed under the name uncultured bacterium. RNAcentral's name for it is "partial 16S ribosomal RNA". It matches the Rfam family "Bacterial small subunit ribosomal RNA", at positions 524 to 776 of the family's 1533-position model. The record is from RNAcentral.
UACGGAGGGGGCGAGCGUUAUUCGGAAUUACUGGGCGUAAAGCGUGCGUAGACGGUUAUUUAAGUCGGGUGUGAAAGCCCCGGGCUCAACCUGGGAAUUGCAUUCGAGACUGAAUAGCUAGGGUGCGGAAGAGGGAAGCGGAAUUUCCGGUGUAGCGGUGAAAUGCGUAGAUAUCGGAAGGAACACCAGUGGCGAAAGCGGCUUCCUGGUCCAGCACCGACGUUCAGGCACGAAAGCGUGGGGAGCAAACAGG